UACGAAGGGUGCAAGCGUUACUCGGAAUUACUGGGCGUAAAGGGUGCGUAGGUGGUUUGUUAAGUCCGUUGUGAAAUCCCUGGGCUCAACCUGGGAAUGGCAGUGGAUACUGGCAAGCUAGAGUGCGGUAGAGGGUAGUGGAAUUCCCGGUGUAGCAGUGAAAUGCGCAGAUAUCGGGAGGAACACCAGUAGCGAAGGCGACACUCUGGGCCGGUACUGACGCUGAGGAGCGAAAGCGUGGGGAGCAAACAGG
RNAcentral lists this ribosomal RNA (253 nucleotides) under uncultured bacterium. RNAcentral's name for it is "partial 16S ribosomal RNA". It matches the Rfam family "Bacterial small subunit ribosomal RNA", at positions 524 to 776 of the family's 1533-position model. The record is from RNAcentral.